RNAcentral lists this ribosomal RNA (460 nucleotides) under uncultured bacterium. Its description in RNAcentral is "partial 16S ribosomal RNA". It matches the Rfam family "Bacterial small subunit ribosomal RNA", at positions 338 to 795 of the family's 1533-position model. The record is from RNAcentral.
CCUACGGGCGGCAGCAGUGAGGAAUAUUGGUCAAUGGACGAAAGUCUGAACCAGCCAUGCCGCGUGAAGGAUGACGGCUCUAUGAGUUGUAAACUUCUUUUAUAAGGGGGUAAUAUCAGGUACGUGUAUCUGCUUGCAAGUAUCGUACGAAUAAGGAUCGGCUAACUCCGUGCCAGCAGCCGCGGUAAUACGGAGGAUCCAAGCGUUAUCCGGAUUUAUUGGGUUUAAAGGGUGCGUAGGUGGGUUUAUAAGUUAGUGGUGAAAGUUUGGGGCUCAACUCUGGACGUGCACGUAAUACUGGAAGUCUAGAGAAUAGAUGAGGUAGGCGGAAUGCAUGGUGUAGCGGUGAAAUGCGUAGAGAUCAUACAGAACCCCGAUUGCGAAGGCAGCUUACCAAACUAUAUCUGACGUUGAGGCACGAAAGCGUGGGGAGCAAACAGGAUUAGAUACCCGAGUAGUC